This 610-nucleotide ribosomal RNA is filed under the name Lodderomyces parapsilosis. RNAcentral describes it as "LSU rRNA". It matches the Rfam family "Eukaryotic large subunit ribosomal RNA", at positions 43 to 668 of the family's 3401-position model. Lineage: Eukaryota; Fungi; Ascomycota; Pichiomycetes; Serinales; Debaryomycetaceae. The record is from RNAcentral.
CCAAAAAGCGGAGGAAAAGAAACCAACAGGGAUUGCCUUAGUAGCGGCGAGUGAAGCGGCAAAAGCUCAAAUUUGAAAUCUGGCACUUUCAGUGUCCGAGUUGUAAUUUGAAGAAGGUAUCUUUGGGUCUGGCUCUUGUCUAUGUUUCUUGGAACAGAACGUCACAGAGGGUGAGAAUCCCGUGCGAUGAGAUGUCCCAGACCUAUGUAAAGUUCCUUCGAAGAGUCGAGUUGUUUGGGAAUGCAGCUCUAAGUGGGUGGUAAAUUCCAUCUAAAGCUAAAUAUUGGCGAGAGACCGAUAGCGAACAAGUACAGUGAUGGAAAGAUGAAAAGAACUUUGAAAAGAGAGUGAAAAAGUACGUGAAAUUGUUGAAAGGGAAGGGCUUGAGAUCAGACUUGGUAUUUUGUAUGUUACUCUCUCGGGGGUGGCCUCUACAGUUUACCGGGCCAGCAUCAGUUUGAGCGGUAGGAUAAGUGCAAAGAAAUGUGGCACUGCUUCGGUAGUGUGUUAUAGUCUUUGUCGAUACUGCCAGCUUAGACUGAGGACUGCGGCUUCGGCCUAGGAUGUUGGCAUAAUGAUCUUAAGUCGCCCGUCUUGAAACAACGGACCA